GAUGAACGCUGGCGGCGUGCCUAAUACAUGCAAGUCGAGCGGAAACACUUCGGGUGUCGAGCGGCGGACGGGUGAGUAACGCGUGGGAACGUACCCCAAACUGAGGGAUAAGCCAAAGAAAUUUGGUCUAAUACCGCAUAUGGUCUUCGGAUUAAAGCCUUCGGGCGGUUUGGGAACGGCCCGCGUCAGAUUAGCUUGUUGGUGAGGUAAAAGCUUACCAAGGCAAUGAUCUGUAACUGGUCUGAGAGGAUGAUCAGUCACACUGGAACUGAGACACGGUCCAGACUCCUACGGGAGGCAGCAGUAGGGAAUCUUCCACAAUGGACGAAAGUCUGAUGGAGCAACGCCGCGUGCAGGAUGAAGGCCUUCGGGUUGUAAACUGCUUUUAUAAGUGAAGAUUAUGACGGUAACUUAUGAAUAAGGAUCGGCAAAUUCCG
This 437-nucleotide ribosomal RNA is filed under the name uncultured bacterium. Its description in RNAcentral is "bacterial SSU rRNA". It matches the Rfam family "Bacterial small subunit ribosomal RNA", at positions 28 to 505 of the family's 1533-position model. The record is from RNAcentral.